This is a long non-coding RNA of Branchiostoma floridae (Florida lancelet), 1084 nucleotides long. RefSeq lists it as uncharacterized. The transcript has 2 exons. NCBI's taxonomy places the organism in Eukaryota, Metazoa, Chordata, Leptocardii, Amphioxiformes, Branchiostomatidae. The record is from RefSeq and is a predicted model, not a curated record.
AUAAAGUGAAUGACAAGGCAUCCGCCCCACUUCUUACUGACAUAUCAUCAUGAGCCAGUCCCAGCGGACGAUGGCAGGGUUCGAGGCGAUAGCGUCUACAGAGUCUACCGACACUCCGUCUCACGCUGACUACGCCCAGAAGAUAUGUGAGGUUGCGGAGAAAUUGGGGUACCCACAUGAGUACACACGUGUCAUGGAGGUACUUAUGGACGCCAGUGACCCUCGCAACCAGCCCAUAUACCCAGGAGCAAGGAUCACGAUCAUACAAGCUGUUACGCUGCAGCUCCAUUUGUUUGUGACGUCAGGUCCGGGAGGGAGCAGCUCCGUACCAAGCCGAAUGAUGUGGAGGGCCGUGCAUUCGUUAUUGCCAACUCCCAAUAAGAUGCCCAACAGAAUAGCGGUGGCGGAAAAGAUGAUAAAAGAUCUGCUUUCGGACAGUGUCAAUUCUGACUAGAUGACAGCAUAGACGACAGGUGACGAGUUUCUGCUAAGGCUGGUAUGGUGGUGAAUCCUCUAGUGGACUAAGGAAAUGUACUGAAACUAGGGAAAGAUGCGCUCUACAAAUAAGAAUUUACACUCAACAUGCCAUCAAUUGUUUGUAUUACUAAGUGUAGCAUUGUGCAAUCUAUGAUUACUGCAAUAAUCUAUUGAGCUGCUAGUGAACUCUAUUGACUUCUUUAGUGUUGGUUAAAACAAUGACACACAUGGUAGCCUAAGGAUUGAUGUAUGCAUAUAGACCAAAAAGCAUGGACUGUAAAUCUUAAACUAUGGACAUCUAUCCUUAAAAUGGUGGCAAGUGAAACAGCCUGUUUAAGUUCUGUUAUCCAAAUACUUGCUGAAAUUUUAUUACUGUUGCCCUAUACUUGUUAGAACACAAUCCCUCCUAAGGUAGAUAACUUGAACAGACAGCACAGUUCACAGUUCACAGUUUUUAGAGUUACUUUCUUUUCUCUUUGAACAGAAAAAAAUACAAGUGAACACUAGUAUGUAGUAAACCUUACAACUGUUACCCAGUGAUACUGAUAAGUACAAUGUUUGUCAAUAAAAAUAAGCCAACAAUCAAUAAACAUUGUUUUUACAAAGU